RNAcentral lists this ribosomal RNA (451 nucleotides) under uncultured bacterium. RNAcentral describes it as "partial 16S ribosomal RNA". It matches the Rfam family "Bacterial small subunit ribosomal RNA", at positions 354 to 796 of the family's 1533-position model. The record is from RNAcentral.
GUGGGGAAUAUUGGACAAUGGGGGGAACCCUGAUCCAGCCAUGCCGCGUGUGUGAAGAAGGCCUUUUGGUUGUAAAGCACUUUAAGCGAGGAGGAGGCUACCGAGAUUAAUACUCUUGGAUAGUGGACGUUACUCGCAGAAUAAGCACCGGCUAACUCUGUGCCAGCAGCCGCGGUAAUACAGAGGGUGCAAGCGUUAAUCGGAUUUACUGGGCGUAAAGCGCGCGUAGGUGGCCAAUUAAGUCAAAUGUGAAAUCCCCGAGCUUAACUUGGGAAUUGCAUUCGAUACUGGUGGGGUAGAGUAUGGGAGAGGAUGGUAGAAUUCCAGGUGUAGCGGUGAAAUGCGUAGAGAUCUGGAGGAAUACCGAUGGCGAAGGCAGCCAUCUGGCCUAAUACUGACACUGAGGUGCGAAAGCAUGGGGAGCAAACAGGAUUAGAUACCCGUGUAGUCC